This 288-nucleotide ribosomal RNA is filed under the name Planctomycetota bacterium. RNAcentral describes it as "partial 23S ribosomal RNA". It matches the Rfam family "Bacterial large subunit ribosomal RNA", at positions 2628 to 2925 of the family's 2925-position model. Lineage: Bacteria; Pseudomonadati; Planctomycetota. The record is from RNAcentral.
AGGUUGGUCCCUACCUACUGUGGGCGUAAGAGUCUUGAGCGAGUCUCACUUUAGUACGAGAGGAUUGGGUGGGACGUACCUCUGGUGUUCCUGUUGGGCCGCCAGGCCCAGCGCAGGGUAGCUAUGUACGGAAAGGAUAAGCGCUGAAAGCAUAUAAGCGCGAAGCCCUUCGCGAGAUAAGGACUCUCUAUCAGGACCGUGGCAGACUACCACGUCGAUAGGCCGGGUGUGGACGAGUGGUAACACUCUCGAGCUAACCGGUACUAAUCAUCCGAUCGGCUUGACCGC